UACGUAGGGUGCAAGCGUUAAUCGGAAUUACUGGGCGUAAAGCGAGCGCAGGCGGUUAUUUAAGUCAGGUGUGAAAGCCCCGAGCUCAACUUGGAACGUGCAUUUGAAACUGGAUAACUAGAGUGUGUCAGAGGGGGGUAGAAUUCCACGUGUAGCAGUGAAAUGCGUAGAGAUGUGGAGGAAUACCGAUGGCGAAGGCAGCCCCCUGGGAUAACACUGACGCUCAUGCUCGAAAGCGUGGGUAGCAAACAGG
RNAcentral lists this ribosomal RNA (253 nucleotides) under uncultured Vitreoscilla sp. RNAcentral describes it as "partial 16S ribosomal RNA". It matches the Rfam family "Bacterial small subunit ribosomal RNA", at positions 524 to 776 of the family's 1533-position model. Lineage: Bacteria; Pseudomonadati; Pseudomonadota; Betaproteobacteria; Neisseriales; Neisseriaceae. The record is from RNAcentral.